RNAcentral lists this ribosomal RNA (135 nucleotides) under uncultured bacterium. Its description in RNAcentral is "partial 16S ribosomal RNA". The record is from RNAcentral.
ACUCCUACGGGAGGCAGCAGGUAAGAAUCUUCGGCAAGUGGAGGAAAGUCUGAGGGAGGGACGCGGCGUGAAGGAUGAAAGCGUGAGUGGUGUGUAAAGAUUGUUUGCAGGGGGAGAAUAAGGGUGGCAGGGAAU